UUCUGCUAUAUGCUAUUUAUGAUCCAAGUUUAACAAGAAAAGCAAAUAUUUGGAGAGAGAAAACAGGACUUCUACAAAAAACUGGAGGUGCCUCUUCAGACUGCCCAGUACUCUGCUGUUACUGUCUGUCUGCUAAUCUAUGUUUAAGGACAGUUCCAAUUAACUCCAGAAAAAUCAAAAUGGGAUUAACACUCUUCACCCCCCCAGGAAUAAUACACAGCAAAUAUAGUGGUGUCACAUUUAUCAAAUAAAUACUCUAAAGUG
This is a long non-coding RNA of Mastomys coucha (southern multimammate mouse), 264 nucleotides long. RefSeq lists it as uncharacterized. Lineage: Eukaryota; Metazoa; Chordata; Mammalia; Rodentia; Muridae. The transcript has 2 exons. The record is from RefSeq and is a predicted model, not a curated record.